RNAcentral lists this ribosomal RNA (881 nucleotides) under Amyloporia xantha. RNAcentral's name for it is "partial large subunit ribosomal RNA". It matches the Rfam family "Eukaryotic large subunit ribosomal RNA", at positions 77 to 944 of the family's 3401-position model. Lineage: Eukaryota; Fungi; Basidiomycota; Agaricomycetes; Polyporales; Adustoporiaceae. The record is from RNAcentral.
CCCCUAGUAACUGCGAGUGAAGCGGGAAAAGCUCAAAUUUAAAAUCUGGUGGUCUUUGGCCAUCCGAGUUGUAGUCUGGAGAAGUGCUUUCCGCGUUGGACCGUGUACAAGUCUCUUGGAACAGAGCGUCAUAGAGGGUGAGAAUCCCGUCUUUGACACGGACUACCAAUGCUUUGUGAUGCGCUCUCAAAGAGUCGAGUUGUUUGGGAAUGCAGCUCAAAAUGGGUGGUAAAUUCCAUCUAAAGCUAAAUAUUGGCGAGAGACCGAUAGCGAACAAGUACCGUGAGGGAAAGAUGAAAAGCACUUUGGAAAGAGAGUUAAACAGUACGUGAAAUUGCUGAAAGGGAAACGCUUGAAGUCAGUCGCGUUGGCCGGAACUCAGCCUUGCUUUUGCUAGGUGCACUUUCUGGUUGACGGGCCAGCAUCAAUUUUGAUUGUUGGAUAAAGGUUGGGGGAAUGUGGCACCUUCGGGUGUGUUAUAGCCCUCAGUCACAUACAACAGUUGGGAUUGAGGAUCUCAGCACGCCUUUAUGGCCGGGGUUCGCCCACGUUCGUGCUUAGGAUGCUGGCAUAAUGGCUUUAAACGACCCGUCUUGAAACACGGACCAAGGAGUCUAACAUGCCUGCGAGUGUUUGGGUGGAAAACCCGAGCGCGUAAUGAAAGUGAAAGUUGGGAUCUCUGUCAUGGAGAGCACCGACGCCCGGACCUGACCUUCUGUGACGGCUCCGCGGUAGAGCAUGUAUGUUGGGACCCGAAAGAUGGUGAACUAUGCCUGAAUAGGGUGAAGCCAGAGGAAACUCUGGUGGAGGCUCGUAGCGAUUCUGACGUGCAAAUCGAUCGUCAAAUUUGGGUAUAGGGGCGAAAGACUAAUCGAACCAUC